This 253-nucleotide ribosomal RNA is filed under the name uncultured bacterium. Its description in RNAcentral is "partial 16S ribosomal RNA". It matches the Rfam family "Bacterial small subunit ribosomal RNA", at positions 524 to 776 of the family's 1533-position model. The record is from RNAcentral.
UACGUAGGGGGCAAGCGUUGUCCGGAUUUAUUGGGCGUAAAGAGCGUGUAGGCGGUGAUGCAGGUCUGUUGUGAAAACUCGAGGCUCAACCUCGAGACGCCGGUGGAAACCGCAUGGCUAGAGUCCGGAAGAGAAGAGUGGAAUUCCACGUGUAGCGGUGAAAUGCGUAGAGAUGUGGAGGAACACCAGUGGCGAAGGCGACUCUUUGGGCUGUAACUGACGCUGAGGCGCGAAAGCGUGGGGAGCAAACAGG